RNAcentral lists this long non-coding RNA (863 nucleotides) under Rattus norvegicus (Norway rat). RNAcentral's name for it is "long non-coding RNA NONRATT032100". The record is from RNAcentral. Lineage: Eukaryota; Metazoa; Chordata; Mammalia; Rodentia; Muridae.
CCUGUCCUUGAAGAGGACUGUGGAAUUCCAGGCUCAUUCUCUUCCUUUCUCUUCUAGGCUGCUAUGAUGUGAUCACCAUGUACCUUUCGCAAGCCCCAAACCAACAGGGGAUUAAUGGGUCAUAAGCUGAACUCCUCAAAACUGUGAGUCACCAUCCAGCAUCCUUCUUUACGACGUCAUUAUCAAAGGUGCUUUGCCACAGCACAAGAAAGCUGACUAACAUGAUGCAGUAGAAGUGGAAAUGGCCACAUAAUAACAGCUGGCAAACUUCAGCCGAGCCUUUGAACAGAGCUUUCACUGUGUCUCUCUGAAGACAAGAAUUGGAAGUCGAAGGGGAAUACAGUCCACAUCUCCGACCUCUUGAACAGUGCAUUUAUUCAUCAGUCCCAUGAGAGAACCUGAAAGUCCAAGAAUAAAGAUGAAGACAAAUGCACCAAAAAGGAAAAUAAAAGAAAUACUAAAAGCUCAGUCAGCAUCAUUUUCCCUGGGGACCAUAAGCUGCCAAGAAGCCCCGAGAGGAAGAGAGACUUCCGAUAUGAGCAGAUUACAGUCGACACUGGAAAGCCAUCUGACAAAGGGGAAGGCACCACAGAGACAGAGCUAUGUAAUUGGUUGUCAAUAUAUGUAUUUCAAAAUACAGUCUCCAGGUAUCCAACUUCCCAAGGAGAUAAAAAAGAAUCUUUCAGUGUGAAGGCUUGUUACAUCUCAAAGAAAGCAUGCUGGUACUUUGCAAGGACAGAGCAAGAAGGCAACAAUCCAGAGAGCUGUACAACAUAGGAUUUCUCUGACACCUUGUCCUGUCACAGCUCGGGGGGGCUUUAGAUUUUUGUCUUCUGUCUCUUCCUCUUUUGCAGCUUCCCAGG